CCUACGGGAGGCAGCAGUAGGGAAUCUUCCACAAUGGCCGAAAGUCUGAUGGAGCAACGCCGCGUGAGUGAAGCAGGGUUUCGGCUCGUAAAGCUCUGUUGGUAGUGAAGAAAGAUAGAGGUAGUAACUGGCCUUUAUUUGACGGUAAUUACUUAGAAAGUCCCGGCUAACUACGUGCCAGCAGCCGCGGUAAUACGUAGGUGGCAAGCGUUGUCCGGAUUUAUUGGGAGUAAAGCGAGUGCAGGCCGUUCAAUAAGUCUGAUGUUAAAGCCUUCGGCUCAACCGGAGAAUUGAAUCAGAAACUGGUGAACUUGAGUGCAGAAGAGGAGAGUGGAACUCGAGGUGUAGCGGUGGAAUGCGUAGAUAUAUGGAAGAACACCAGUGGCGAAGGCAGCUCUCUGGUCGGCAACUGACGCUGAGGCUCGAAAGCAUGGGUAGCGAACAGGAUUAGAUACCCUUGUAGUC
This 465-nucleotide ribosomal RNA is filed under the name uncultured bacterium. Its description in RNAcentral is "partial 16S ribosomal RNA". It matches the Rfam family "Bacterial small subunit ribosomal RNA", at positions 338 to 795 of the family's 1533-position model. The record is from RNAcentral.